AUUGAACGCUGGCGGUAUGCUUAACACAUGCAAGUCGAACGGUAACAGGCUCUAGCUUGCUAGAGUGCUGACGAGUGGCGGACGGGUGAGUAACGCGUAGGGAUCUGUCUAAUAGCUUGGGACAACACGGGGAAACUCGUGCUAAUACCAAAUACACUCUAAGGAGGAAAGGUGGGGGUUAAACCCUGUCGCUAAUAGGGGAACCUGCGUUGGAUUAGCUAGUUGGUGGGGUAAUGGCCUACCAAGGCGACGAUCCAUAGCUGUUCUGAGAGGAAGAUCAGCCAAACUGGGACUGAGACACGGCCCAGACUCCUACGGGAGGCAGCAGUGGGGAAUAUUCGGCAAUGGAGGAAACUCUGACCGAGCAAUGCCGCGUGAGUGAUGAAGACCCUUUGGGUCGUAAAACUCUGUUGUAGGGGAAGAACAACCAUUAUAGGAAAUGAUAAUGGUCUGACGGUACCCUGCCAGAAAGCCCCGGCUAACUACGUGCCAGCAGCCGCGGUAA
This 505-nucleotide ribosomal RNA is filed under the name uncultured bacterium. RNAcentral's name for it is "partial 16S ribosomal RNA". It matches the Rfam family "Bacterial small subunit ribosomal RNA", at positions 30 to 523 of the family's 1533-position model. The record is from RNAcentral.